UUCCGGUUGAUUUGGCGGACCUGACUGCUAUCGGAUUGGUAGGGAGCCAUGUGAGUCGUUGUAGCAAUACAAGGCGGACGGCUCAGUAACACGUAGUCAACCUAACCUAUGGACGUGGAUAACCUCGGGAAACUGAGAAUAAACCGCGAUAGAUCAUUAUGCCUGGAAUGGCUUAUGGUUCAAACAAUUUAUUGCCGUAGGAUGGGACUGCGGCCUAUCAGCUUGUUGGUGAGGUAAUGGCCCACCAAGGCUAUAACAGGUACGGGCUCUGAGGGGAGAAGCCCGGAGAUGGGUACUGAGACACGGACCCAGGCCCUAUGGGGCGCAGCAAGCGAGAAACCUUAGCAAUGUGCGAAAGCACGACUGGGUCAGUCCGAGUGAUUCCUGAUAAAGGAGUCUUUUAUCUGUCCUAAAAGCACAGGUGAAUAAGGGGUGGGCAAGUCUGGUGUCAGCCGCCGCGGUAAUACCAGCACCUCGAGUGGUCAGGACGUUUAUUGGGCCUAAAGCAUCCGUAGCCGGCUCUGCAAGUCUUCGGUUAAAUCCACCUGCUCAACAGAUGGGCUGCUGGAGAUACUACAAAGCUAGGGAGUGGGAGAGGCAGACGGUAUUCAGUGGGUAGGGGUAAAAUCCUCUGAUCCAUCGAGGACCACCAGUGGCGAAGGCGGUCUGCCAGAACACGUUCGACGGUGAGGGAUGAAAGCUGGGGGAGCAAACCGGAUUAGAUACCCGGGUAGUCCCAGCUGUAAACGAUGCAAACUCGGUGAUGCAUUGGCUUAUGGCCAAUGCAGUGCCGCAGGGAAGCCGUUAAGUUUAAAACCUGCAAGUACGGACGCAAGUCUGAAACUUAAAGCAUAAAGCGGGGGAGCA
Molecule: ribosomal RNA, 867 nt
Filed under: uncultured archaeon
Lineage: Archaea
Description: bacterial SSU rRNA
Rfam family: Archaeal small subunit ribosomal RNA
Source: RNAcentral